RNAcentral lists this ribosomal RNA (248 nucleotides) under uncultured prokaryote. RNAcentral's name for it is "partial 16S ribosomal RNA". It matches the Rfam family "Bacterial small subunit ribosomal RNA", at positions 524 to 772 of the family's 1533-position model. The record is from RNAcentral.
UACGUAGGGGCUAGCGUUAUCCGGAAUUACUGGGCGUAAAGGGUGCGUAGGCGGAUAUGUAAGUCAGCGGUGAAACUCACAGGCUCAACCUGUGCCGUGCCGUUGAAGCUGUGUAUCUGGAAUGCGGAUGCUGUGGGAGGAAUGUGUAGUGUAGCGGCGAAAUGCAUAGAUAUUACACAGAACACCGAUUGCGAAGGCAUCUCACAAAGCCGUUAUUGACGCUGAGGCACGAAAGUGUGGGGAUCAAA